UGUGUGUGUGUGUGUGUGUGUGUGUGUGUGUGUAUACGUGUGUACGUGUGUUCAUUGCAUCAAAGAAGAGCUGCUCCCUGCCGGGGACAACAAGGAACACACAGUGGUGUGUGAGAGCUGAUACCGAGCUCUGGAGAUAUAAAUAGGACCUCCCUGCAACAAGGCUCCCACCAGCAGCACUGAUAACUCUCCGCGUGUUGUGUAAGCAGUCUAUGUGCGUCUUUGUAGAUUUUAAUUAAUUAUUUUCCAGAGAAAUUACUUUCUCAAUGACUUUUAAAAAAAACUCUUAUCAGCGGCGAACGUCAUGGCCCGCUCAUCCCCCCCCAUGUGUUCUCAGGUUGAUGAGAGGUUUUAAAAAAAAAAAAAAAACACUCACGAGUCAUGGGGUUACUCGCGCUGACAAGAUCAAUUCACGUGUGUCCCUCACGCAUCCGGCUUCCUUCCUGCUUGCUUACAGAUCGGCUUGAGGCAGUCCCCCCCCCCCCUGAAGAAACAGAGAAAAGUUCCACUUUUGGCGUCAGGAGCAACAAACUGCGCUCUGCAUUUUUGUUAUGUCGUGUCCUGACUUUGUAUAUGGCUGAUAUCCAUUUUAUAACCCAUCUGGGUCUCAACAUUGAUCUUAACUUACAUUUUAAAGCUGCAGAGGAGCCAACCUGCCUGACGUCCUUAGUGCACCUCAUCAUCUAAAUCAUUCCGAUCAGCUUUAAAAACUAUUUGACGAUAACUCCGUUGCUUGACUAAUGGAGUAAGUGAUGAGGUCCUGUCAGAGGUAGGGAUGAGGUGGGGGGGGGGGGGUCUCCGCUUUCUAAAUAUCACCUCACCUGUUUCAAGCUGCUGUUGAGGCCUCCCCAUGUUCUUCCAGCACCUGUUUGAUUCUGGUGACGACUAACUGUUGUACAGGUCUUUUUGCCAUUUUAGGUAACCGGUUCUAUUAUUUCAGGAAAAGGCGCAACGCACACUAGUAGUAUUUGUAUGCUUUUUUUCUUCUAGCACACAAUCUUGCAAUCUCACAGACUUCUCAGGCUGCUUGUGGCGUUGACGCUGCAGCAAAAAGCUGUGUCAGGUGUUUUGUGGAGCGCCUGAGAGGGAUUAAGAAAAGGUGUGUGUGUGUGUGUCAGAGUGAAGGCUGUAGCCAUUCAGGAUGAGCACAGGGGAGUGAUGAGUGAGGAAGACCAAGACACAAGGGAAUGCAAUAAAUUCAUUGUGCAGGAACAAACAAAGUGCCAAGUCGGGGCUAGAGGCCCUUGAUGAGAACAAAGAAAGGAGACUCACACCUUUGUUAGUCCUCUUUUGUUUCCCCCUCACAACGGGAACGUCACACUACAGGUCAAGGAGGAGCCAAGCCAGAUCCUGGAGAUCUGGGGAGAAAGUGAAAACCAU
This is a long non-coding RNA of Gasterosteus aculeatus aculeatus (three-spined stickleback), 1380 nucleotides long. Lineage: Eukaryota; Metazoa; Chordata; Actinopteri; Perciformes; Gasterosteidae. The record is from Ensembl.